UAGGUGCUAGUACGACUGGUGGUGUGCUUAGGAUUUGUAAAGAGUUGCUUGGUUCCCAUUACUAUUACUUCGAGAAAAUUUUGUAAUGUAGAAGUAGAUGACGGGUUUCUCGAAAAAAAAGUAGAUGUUGGAGCAAGGCAUAGUUGUGAAUACAGUGUUGCUGGUUUGCCUUAUUGUGAAAUGUUAAAUUAGUAUUGCCUACCGCUACAUAAGGCCGGUCACAGUAGGGAGGAACUUAGGAGUAACAUCACAUACUCCAAUACAACUUUGCUUAUGUGGCACGUAUUUAAUAAAAAGAGAGGUGUUUGUGGUAACUAACUAAGUUACCGGAACAUCACACACUCCAACAAACAAUGAGUCUAUAACCUAAUAAAUACAUCGUUGCAUGACACUACAUAGAUGUUCCUACCCACUAUGGAGGUAGUAACAUAGUCUAGGGAAGUGUGUAAGUUACUAGCUUAUGUUCUUGCUCAUUGUGACCAGCCUAAGGUUUACUUUGUAUUUCAUUUUUCUAUUGUGAUCAUGACGUGGUCGCUUUAAUUGUAUGAACUCGAUAUCUU
RNAcentral lists this long non-coding RNA (560 nucleotides) under Triticum aestivum (bread wheat). Its description in RNAcentral is "long non-coding RNA (TAES_LNC027528)". Lineage: Eukaryota; Viridiplantae; Streptophyta; Magnoliopsida; Poales; Poaceae. The record is from RNAcentral.